This is a long non-coding RNA of Ahaetulla prasina, 1598 nucleotides long. RefSeq lists it as uncharacterized. Lineage: Eukaryota; Metazoa; Chordata; Lepidosauria; Squamata; Colubridae. The transcript has 2 exons. The record is from RefSeq and is a predicted model, not a curated record.
UCCACCCACUCUCCCCCGUGCACUUUCCUGGAUCCACACUGUUCUAGGGACAAGCUGUUCAACUGCGGCGCCCCGUCGCACUGGCAGGUUACGGAGACAUAACUCGGGCAACCAAGCUUUACCUCGACCUCCUCUCUGCACCGGCAAAACGAGCCUCGAAGGCCUUCUAGAGUGCGGCAAGAAAAGCCCCGGCACUCCCAAAGCCACCAAGAAAAGAGCGAAGAACGACCCCACCCCCCGCAGGGCCCCUUCAGACGUUUCCCAGGACUUUGAACCUCGCGACUGAAGAAAAUGGAUGCUCCCCUUCCGCUUCUUCCGUUGCCGAGUCGUCCUGCCAAGCACUGGGGAAGAACACCGAAAACCGUCCCUUCUGAGGAAAAGCGCCCACGGUACAGACCUGGAAAGGUGCUUGAGGAUCUGUUUUUUGAUAAUGCCCGCCAUGGUUCUCGGCUUGUCGCCCGGUUCUUCAGGGAAGGCAAAGAGAGGUGAUUGCUUGGCCCAUCCCCGCGCGGGACUCCUCCAUCCCCGAGAGAAGCAGCGCAGCCGCUUUCGCUCACGCUCUUCCCGGCCCCGCCGCCACCUUGGUUGCAGUAGAGCCAGCUGACAGGCUGAGCUUAAUGGGGCGGGGACAAGGGAGACGCGAGACUGUGGGUGCGCCGCCCAUUUCUCGGCUGCCGCUGCUGGCUUCUAACAAGGGCGCGAGGAGUUGUGUCUCGCGCGCCUUUCUUGCAACACCUUGAAUGAAUUCACAAGCGUUGCGGCGCGAACAAUGCAAUCCCGAUUCACCCUGUUGACAAUUGCAUACGCAUAGGCACCGCUAAGUUAAAACCGGAGUUGCUUUUCUACACGAGCACUCUUAUUGUUAGUUGCGAAGUCGUGUACGACCCAUCACAACCCUAUGGACAACGUUCCUCCAGACCUUCCUAUCCUCUACCUUCCUAUCCUAUACCAUCCUCUGGAGUCUAUUUAAGCUCACGCCUACUGCUUCAGUGACUGCAUCCAGCGACUUCAUUCUCUGUCGUCGUCUUUUGCCCUCAAUCUUUCCCAGCAUGAGUACUCUGUCAGCAAAAGUACUGAAAAUAUCCGAAAGGAUUCUUAGACAAUGUACAGCUAUCAUCACUAUGUGAAUCGUUCAAUACAGAUAGUUUUCGACUUAGAACACUUUGUGUAGUGACCGUUCAAAGAACGAUGGCACUGAAAAAUGUGAAAUGACCAGUUUUCACAGUUACAAGCUUUGUAGCAUUCCCCGUGAUCAGGUGUUCAAAAUUCAGAUACUUGGCAACUGGUUCAUACUUAUGACCAUUGCUAUGUCCCAAGGUCAUGUGAUUACCUUUUGCACCCUUUUGGCAUGCAAAGUCAAUCGGCAACCAGAUUCACUUAACAACCGAGUUACUAACUUAUCAAGUGCUGUGAUUCACUUUACAAUUGUGGCAAGAAGUUGUAAAAUGGGGCAAAAGUCACUUAACAGAAAUUUUGGCCUCAAUUGCCGUAAGUCAAGGACUAUAUAAAUUUUAUAGUUAAACUUAGCUACCUUUUCAACAAUGGUCAAAAAUACAAAGAUGUUCUUUAUGGCAUCCUAAGCCUGGAAGAUAUUUUUU